GAUGAACGCUGGCGGCGUGCCUAAUACAUGCAAGUCGAGCGAACGGGCGAGAAGCUUGCUUCUCUGAUGUUAGCGGCGGACGGGUGAGUAACACGUGGAUAACCUACCCAUAAGACUGGGAUAACUUCGGGAAACCGGAGCUAAUACCGGAUGAUAUUUUGAACCGCAUGGUUCAAAAGUGAAAGACGGUCUUGCUGUCACUUAUAGAUGGAUCCGCGCUGCAUUAGCUAGUUGGUAAGGUAACGGCUUACCAAGGCAACGAUGCAUAGCCGACCUGAGAGGGUGAUCGGCCACACUGGAACUGAGACACGGUCCAGACUCCUACGGGAGGCAGCAGUAGGGAAUCUUCCGCAAUGGGCGAAAGCCUGACGGAGCAACGCCGCGUGAGUGAUGAAGGUCUUCGGAUCGUAAAACUCUGUUAUUAGGGAAGAACAUAUGUGUAAGUAACUGUGCACAUCUUGACGGUACCUAAUCAGAAAGCCACGGCUAACUACGUG
RNAcentral lists this ribosomal RNA (497 nucleotides) under uncultured bacterium. Its description in RNAcentral is "partial 16S ribosomal RNA". It matches the Rfam family "Bacterial small subunit ribosomal RNA", at positions 28 to 507 of the family's 1533-position model. The record is from RNAcentral.